CUGAGAGGACCCCCUCUUCUGCACGUGCACUCACAUGGAAGAUCUGGGAAACUCUCUAAAACACCUUUGAAAGAUAUCGUUCACAAUUCAGCC
Molecule: non-coding RNA, 93 nt
Organism: Vicugna pacos (alpaca)
Lineage: Eukaryota; Metazoa; Chordata; Mammalia; Artiodactyla; Camelidae
Source: Rfam